RNAcentral lists this ribosomal RNA (309 nucleotides) under uncultured eukaryote. Its description in RNAcentral is "partial 18S ribosomal RNA". It matches the Rfam family "Eukaryotic small subunit ribosomal RNA", at positions 1470 to 1796 of the family's 1831-position model. The record is from RNAcentral.
CCCUUAGAUGUUCUGGGCGGCCCGCGCACUACAAUGGUGUGUGCAGCGAGUGCCGAAGUAGAGUUUUCCGAGGUAUUCUUGCAAUGCUCGUUUUGAUGGGGAUAGACCCUUGCAACUGUUGGUUUUGAACGAGGAAUUCCUUGUAAGCAUGGUUUAUCAUCCGACGCUGAAUGCGUCCCUGCCCUUUGUACACACCGCCCGUCGCUCCUACCGAUGAGUCGUCCGGUGAAGUUCGUAGACCUCGUGAUCGCGGAUCACUGGGGGAAGCAAAAUGAACCUCGCGGUUUAGAGGAAGGAGAAGUCGUAACA